UCGGGAAUAUUGCGCAAUGGAGGAAACUCUGACGCAGUGACGCCGCGUGCAGGAAGAAGGUUUUCGGAUUGUAAACUGCUUUAGACAGGGACGAAAUAAAUGACGGUACCUGUAGAAUAAGCUCCGGCUAACUACGUGCCAGCAGCCGCGGUAAUACGUAGGGAGCAAGCGUUAUCCGGAUUUACUGGGCGUAAAGGGUGCGUAGGCGGUUUGGUAAGUUGGAUGUGAAAUACCCGGGCUUAACUUGGGGGCUGCAUCCAAUACUGUCGGACUUGAGUGCAGGAGAGGAAAGCGGAAUUCCUAGUGUAGCGGUGAAAUGCGUAGAUAUUAGGAGGAACACCGGUGGCGAAGGCGGCUUUCUGGACUGUAACUGACGCUGAGGCACGAAAGCGUGGGGAGCAAACAGGAUUAGAUA
This 415-nucleotide ribosomal RNA is filed under the name uncultured Oscillospiraceae bacterium. RNAcentral's name for it is "bacterial SSU rRNA". It matches the Rfam family "Bacterial small subunit ribosomal RNA", at positions 355 to 784 of the family's 1533-position model. Lineage: Bacteria; Bacillati; Bacillota; Clostridia; Eubacteriales; Oscillospiraceae. The record is from RNAcentral.